AGAGUUUGAUCCUGGCUCAGAACGAACGCUGGCGGCGUGGAUUAGGCAUGCAAGUCGAACGCGAACGGGAGUUGAACAUUCCUUCGGGAAUGGGAUGUUCCCUAGUAGAGUGGCGAACGGGUGAGUAACGCGUGGGUAACCUGCCCUCGAGAUGGGGAUAACACCCCCGACGGGGUGCUAAUACCGAAUAAUAUCAUCUUAUCAUACGCUUAGAUGAUCAAAGGUGGCCUCUACAUGUAAGCUACCACUUGAGGAUGGGCCCGCGUCUCAUUAGCUUGUUGGUGAGGUAAUGGCUCACCAAGGCUGUGAUGGGUAGCUGGUUUGAGAGGAUGGUCAGCCACACUGGGAUUGAGAUACGGCCCAGACUCCUUCGGGAGGCAGCAGUCGAGAGGCUUUGGCAAUGGGGGAAACCCUGACCAAGCGACGCCGCGUGGGUGAUGAAGGCUUUCGGGUCGUAAAGCCCUGUCAUGGGAGAAGAAAAACUACCGGGACAAUACUCCGGUAGCUUGACGGUAUCCCAGGAGGAAGCUCCGGCAAACUCCGCGCCAGCAGCCGCGGUAAUACGGGGGGAGCAAGCGUUGUUCGGA
This 587-nucleotide ribosomal RNA is filed under the name uncultured bacterium. Its description in RNAcentral is "bacterial SSU rRNA". It matches the Rfam family "Bacterial small subunit ribosomal RNA", at positions 8 to 549 of the family's 1533-position model. The record is from RNAcentral.